This 494-nucleotide ribosomal RNA is filed under the name uncultured bacterium. RNAcentral describes it as "partial 16S ribosomal RNA". It matches the Rfam family "Bacterial small subunit ribosomal RNA", at positions 28 to 507 of the family's 1533-position model. The record is from RNAcentral.
GACGAACGCUGGCGGCGUGCUUAACACAUGCCAGUCGAACGGUGAAGCGCCUUCCUUUUUGGUGGGUGUGGAUGAGUGGCGAACGGGUGAGUAACACGUGAGUAACCUGCCCCCUUCUUCUGGAUAACCGCAUGAAAGUGUGGCUAAUACGGGAUAUUCUGGGUCUGUCGCAUGAUGGGUCUGGGAAAGAUGUUGUUUCGGUGGGGGAUGGGCUCGCGGCCUAUCAGCUUGUUGGUGGGGUGAUGGCCUACCAAGGCGGUGACGGGUAGCCGGCCUGAGAGGGUGGACGGUCACACUGGGACUGAGACACGGCCCAGACUCCUACGGGAGGCAGCAGUGGGGAAUAGUGCACAAUGGGCGCAAGCCUGAUGCAGCGACGCCGCGUGAGGGAUGGAGGCCUUCGGGUUGUGAACCUCUUUCGCCAGUGAAGCAGGCCUGCCUCGUUUGUGGGUGGGUUGACGGUAGCUGGAUAAGAAGCGCCGGCUAACUACGUG